Non-coding RNA from Gymnothorax javanicus (giant moray), 74 nucleotides. The record is from the annotation of a GenBank genome assembly. NCBI's taxonomy places the organism in Eukaryota, Metazoa, Chordata, Actinopteri, Anguilliformes, Muraenidae.
GGCACGGUGGCAUAGUGGUUAGCACUGUUGCCUCUCAGCGAAAAGGUUGUGGGUUCGAAUCCGGCUUAGGGCCU